AUAUUGCUUUAGUUACAUAGACGUUGGG
RNAcentral lists this small RNA (28 nucleotides) under Bombyx mori (domestic silkworm). Its description in RNAcentral is "ovarian small RNA-12394". The record is from RNAcentral. Lineage: Eukaryota; Metazoa; Arthropoda; Insecta; Lepidoptera; Bombycidae.